GGAAUGGGGAGGGCAUGGCCAGUGUCCAGUGAGAACAGAGAAUGCUCUAGGGUUCUGGGGCCGGACUUGGAGCUGUGCAGAGACCUGGGAUCUACCAGAGAUGCAGCCCCCAAGUACAUGGGGUAGUGAGGAAGCCCUCUGGUCUCUCUUCUCCCAUUCUUUUACUCUUUUCUUGUUCCUUCCACUGGCCCAAAAAACUGAACGCCAACAGGCAAGGGAUCCCAGGUGAAGCCUCACAGGAGGCUGACCUCCCAGGACUUACAUCAAGGCAGAUGGUGAGUGCCCCCCAAUGGUGAGUGCAUGUGCCAGCCAUGAUAGAUGGGAGUGGGAUGAUCCUCAGGCCCCUGGCAGAGAGUUCAGUUUCUGAGGUCAUCAGAGAAGAUUUGCCAGAGGCUUUCGCUUACCCAAGGGAAGUAAUGUUAAAGGGUCAUGUGUUUUUCUGAAGCAAAGUAUCGCUUUUACAGAGAAAUGGCUGCUACCUAGGGCCAGUGCCUUCACAGUGAGUGCCAAUGUGUUUCACAGUCCAUGCUCACCUCUGGUAAUUUCCAAAAUCUGUCAUCAAAAUGAUCCAGAUCAUGAACUCAGAGAGAAACAACCCAUACUGGCUUGUCUGACCUCCCUGAUAGUCUAUCAACGAGAUUGAUUCUAUCUCAGUCUUACGGAUGCAAUUCUUCAUAUCCAAAAGAUACUGCCAUUUGUAGCACUUGUUCUAAGGCAGCAAAAGCAGCAGGAAGGACCAAUUCUACCUACAGCACAGGAUUCCAGAGAUGUCUUGAUUUUUAUUAAUGUUGGUUUCAAUGGAUGUUCCCCAGGUUUGGUUAUGCUAAGUAGAAGAUACAGAUUUGUAAUGCCUAAAUUCUCACACUUCUAAUCCUACAGUCCAAUUAUUCUGGCAUUUGCUACAAUGUGCUCUGAAGAAAUGGAUUGGAAAUAAACAAAUAAAUAAAUAAAUAAAUAAUUCCACAGGAGGAAAAAAAUGCGUUCUGAAAGGAUCAGGAUUUUCAAAGCCCCCAAGCUUCAACAUAUCCGAGGAUCGAAGGCCUGAAUAAAGUGGCAUCACAGAAGUGUGAGAACAGCCUUUCCCCAUUCUCCGGAGUGGAUCCAUGAGCCAGGAGUCAGGCCUGCACUUUGAGGAGCGGAAGUGCUUUUGUGAGGACAAGCAAGAAUGUCUUGUAAUUUCAACUACCCUUAAAGCUGUUUCAGGGUUCCCUGAUAAUGAACUAACUGAUACUGGGACUUCCCUUCUCCAUCCCCCAAAGAAAAGCUGCGUUCCAACUCAACACCUCAUAGAACCAGAGCCCCCUAAUAUCCCUAGGUGUGGGCAGCUGGCAUUCCCCAACAUUCCCCUAACACCCAGCACCUAAGCUAAGAAUGCUUGGGGCCUGAACCCCAAAUGUUUAUUCAGCCAUGUAAAGCCACUUGCACACUUGUCCUAUAAAAAAGGAAAGCAACAGAAUGUUUUUCUCCUCUUGGAGCAGAGCCCCACAGUGAAUCUAGCAAUGCACUGGCUCAAACAUGCCCCCUUUUCAGCAGCAUGCUGAAAGAAAUAGGAUCCAUGCGUCAGCUGGAAUUUCUAUCUCUGAGUUUCUACCUAAACUAAGUGAUACUUUCUGUUAUUCCCAGUCACAUCAAAACAAAUGUGAGAUUCAAAUUUUAAACUGGGCUAUACUGUAACAAAUUAGACUUGACUCUUUUUGUUUUGUUUUGUUUAAAUAACAGAAAGUGACUAGAAAACUAUAGGAUCCACCUAAGAUGCUAAGACAUGGCAAAGUGAGACCAAACAUAGCACAACAAAUAGUUGGAGACAAAAUAAAAGCAUUUUACAUUUGUGCACUACAAUGUUCAGGCUAUUCAACACACUGAUUUCACACAUACAGUCCCAUUUAUUGCCAACAAUAACCCUGCAAAGUAGGUACUAUUAUUGGGCACAUUUUACAUAUAAAACGACUUAAAAUUAGAGGAGGUAGUAUAUAUUUUCCUAAUUUUUGGCAGCCCAGCAUCUAAAGCCCUUUUCUAUGCUUGAAGAAUGCCCUGCCUUAUGAGUGAGUCUUGCUGGAAAGAAGAGACCAGCUUCCAAUAUAAAAACUGAAAAUACCAAAUACUUUUCCCAUAUUCCCUGAUAACUAUCACACUGACAUUAGAAGAGUCUCCACCAACAGAUGUGAGCAUGCCAGUUUUCCCCAGAAUCUAAAGAUACAAAGAAAGAGGAUUUUUGUGGGAAACCACUCUGGUGAAAAUGCCAGUGGAAGUCCUACACUGAACCCGAUUUCCAGUGGCAAGAAUUUUAGUGGCUCCAGCAGCGAUGCCCAGUGCUCCGUGACUAUGGGUUCACAAUGUACACAAACUGGUUGGGCCACUGCAGAUGAAAGAGAUGGCUUCAAGUGCUCAGUUAUGUGUCUUGAUUGGUAAUGUGGCCAUUGGCUGGGUAAUGUCCACACUGCUUCUCUGGCCCUUUUGAAGUGUCUGUUAGCCAUAAUAACUAGAUUUAUUUUCUGAUUAAAUUAGCUAGAAUUAGGUUCUGACUGACUUAGGAUAAGUAAUUGCUCUCUGAUCACACAUAGAGCAAAUGAUGGAGCUGGAAUUCCAGUCUUCACUAGGUUAUACUGAAUGAUGAGAUAAUGUUAUGGGCUGAAUUCAUGUGUUGAAGUCCUCAUCUCCAGAACCUCAGAAUGUCUGUAUUUGGAGAAGAGUUUUUAAUGUUGUAAUUCAGUGAAAGUGAGGUCAGUAGGGUGGCUAUAAUUCAAUAUGACCUGAAUCCUUACGAGAAUGAAAAUCUGGACACAGAAAUCCGUGUGGGAGGCCAUGUGAAGACACGGAGAAAGCAUCCAUCUGUGAGCCAAAGAGAGAGGCCUCAGAAGAAACCACCCCUGCAGACACCUUGUAAUUGGACGUCUAGCCUUCAGAACUGUGAAACAGGAAAUUUCUGUUAUUUAAGCCACCCAGUCUAUGGUACUUUGUUAUGGCAGUCCUAAUAAACUAAUACCAGGAAUGAGGAAUACGAAAGAAUUCAAGAUGAUCUCAAAGUUGCUCAAUGAGGUGACUUUAGAAAAGAUGAAGGGUAUGAGAGGAGUAGCCAUUGCAGAAGGAGAACAAGAUCAUGAAUUCAAUUCAGAAAACUUUGAUUUUGAGACCUCUGCAGGAGAAAAUAAGAGAAAGCUUCAAAGGCCUAGCUUCCUUUAUAGAGUCCUGGGAGAGACCUAAAGUUGAGGAAUAGAGAGAAAAGGCACCUCUGGAUACUCACUGGCAUUGGAUCCAGCUCUGAGUUGCUUGCUUUCUGGGCUUCAGAAUGACAAAGCAGGUUUAUGCACAGAGUUUUUCAAUAAGCAAGUCCCCACUGAAGGUCACAGGCCUAUUUCAGCAGUGGGAGAAACCACAGUCAGCAGUAUUGGGCCAUGCAAGUGAAGGGUUGUUCACUGGAGAGGUUUGUUACCUUAUUGGGAAGAUGAAGUUUUCAUCCAGCAUUAAGCCUAUGGCUAUAAUUCAGGGAUGAGACAAGGGUGUUUGCAUUUGUUAGCAUGAAGACAAACAAAUCCAACACCCUUAGGUCAGAAUUUCAGCUUAACAUGGUAUCUUGUGCUUGAAUAUCCCUUGCAACCUCUCCUGACUUUCCACUUUCCAAAGUGAGUCUUUUAAAAUGCUCACGUUUUGGCUCACACCUGUAAUCCCAGCACUUUGGGAGGCCGAGGCGGGCGGAUCACGAGAUCAGGAGAUCAAGACCACGGUGAAACCCCGUCUCUACUAAAAUACAAAAAAUUAACCGGGCGUGGUGGUGGGCUCCUGUAGUCCCAGCUACUCGGGAGGCUGAGGCAGGAGAAUGACGUGAACCCCGAAGGCGGAGCUUGCAGUGAGCCGAGAUUUCGCCACUGCACUCCAGCCUGGGCGACACUGCGAGACUCCGUCUCAAAAAAAAAAAAAAAAAAAAAAAAAAAAAGGCCACGUUUAUUGGUCUUAUGCCUAUAAAAAAAGUCUAUGUGGACAACCACUCAUUGAUUCAAUAAAUAAUGCUUAAGUGCUUACUCUGUGCCAGGAUUCUGAAAGGCACUGUGGGUAAAUGGUAGGCAAAUCUAAACCUGGUCCUGCCUUCAGAGAGUCUACUGUUUGAACGGAAAAAGAAGAGAAUGAGGCCAAACAAGAGGUUGUUCACCUGAGGAAAUGGAUGGGAGCUGGGCAAGCCUACCUGGCAGAGGCUCACCUGGCUGAGUACCUAUGAAAUUGCCAUGGAUGAUCUCAAAAUUCAAAGAAAAGUCCAGUGCAUAUAAAUAAAAACCUUGAAAACACAAAUUCAUAGGCAAAAGGCUGAGAGGCCACAUAAAUUACUUUUAGUGAAAACAACAAAUAAUAUUAGUAUUAUUUCUGUUUCAGUAUUCAAGGCAGUGGUGAUGGGAACUUGAGGGCAUGAGAAUCAGGGCAAAGAGAAUUACUGAAAGAGUAAAACUAUCUUAAAGAUGUGAGGUUGGCCACUGAUGGAGAGGACAAGCAGGACAGGGAUCGGGGGACCAAAGUCCAGCUGCACUGACUCCAUUCAGCUCUGCUCUGUUCACCCUCAUCCCAAACCUGUCCCCAUCCCCAGACAAAUAGAAGCUGUGGACAAAGAUUGUUUUUGCCCUCCACAUCUCCAAUACUCUGUUUUCAAAUGACUGCAACCAACCCAACAAAAGAACUCACUUAACAUAUUAGUAGUAUCUUAAAUGAUGCAAUUUUAUCUUGUCCAUGAAAUAGCUUCAAUUAAAACAAAUUAUCUCUUUCCAUUCAUAGCUUAAUUCAUAUAGCACAUCUGAUAGAGCCUUUUUAAAUGCUCACUUUUAUUGGUCUUAUUUCAAAAUUAAUUCAUGUUUAUAGUCUAGCAUUUAGAAAAUUCCAAGGCAAAGCAGGCUACAUUUGUGUGUUUCCUCUUGGUGUCUCCAGUGCCCCAUGCCGCCACUGCACAGAGGACAUUAAGCAUUGAACACAGAGAACUAAACCACUUAAGGAACCACCCAUAAUCUCAAUACCAAUAGAUACUUACCCUCACUUUUUUGAUAUGUUUUUUCCAGUCACUUGUGUAUGUAAGCAUACAUACAAAAACAGGUGUGUGUGUGUGUGUAAAAAUGUGUGUUUACAGAGUUCGUUUUACAGGAAAGCACAAAGUCAGAUAGUUGUUAUCGGGCACCUAUGGGAAAUGUCAUAGGAGACUAAAGAUGAGACGAAAACUUUGGGACCACCACUCUUAAUCAUCCUAAUACUUGAUCUUUCCAUGGCUACCCUGAGAUAGAAUAAAUGGCUUUUGUAAAACAACUUAAACCUCAUCUCCUUAAUUGAGGUAUCCUGCUUUCUUACUCUUAUUUACGUGUCUAAGUCAGGGAGAAACAUCCCAUUAUGUCACAAAUAAGAUUAAAGGUAGUUGUAAUUAAAUUUCACCAUGUGCCCUGAGUUUUCCCACCUGAGAAUUAUAAGAAAAAAAUCAAAAGGUCUUCUCCUCUUACUAGACUACCCACCAAAUGGUCAUUACAUUUUCCUGUAGGCUGCAGAUAAAAUCUCUCUAUCAUAAGUCUCCCAAUCACCAAGUGAGAAAACACCACUCUGGGGUCCAGGGAUGUGUAGGCAAUUGAAGAGUUUCUCUUUUAAGAAUGGCAGCUCAUUAGGGUAAGUGUCCAAGAACAUAAUGAAAAAAUUGUGGUAUAUUUAUACUGGGGGAUAUGCCAGAUUAAAAAACGAACACAUUUGAGUUACAGAUAGCAACAUGGAUAAAUCUCUAAUGCAGAAUUUUAAUAAGAAAAAGGCAUAUUGCAGAAUUAUAGGUGCAGUAUAAUACCAUGUAUAUAAAGUUUAAACACAAAAACAUGCUAUAUAUCUUUUAUGGAUAUAUCCUUGUGCAGUAAAAAAUAUAAAAUAUGCAUAAGAAUGACAAAGACAAAUUUUAGAGGAUUUAUUCCCUUAGGGAGAAAAGGAAACGGCAUCACAAGGAUUACAAGAUUUGAAUUGAAUCUACAAUAUUUUAUUCCUUAAGCUGAGUAGCGGGUACAUGGGUGUUCAUAUACUCAAAACCAUUUUUGGCACAUGAAAUAUUUUAAAAUUUUUUAAAAAGCUAGAUAGUAUGAUUGACAUCUUCAGAUACUUGAAGAUCUGGCAUGUUGAUGAUGGAAAGUAUCCUAUGACUAAGUAGGUAAAGCUAUUAUGAAGGCAAAUUUUAGGUCAUUCUUAGGAAAAACCUAAAAGGGCUGUCUAAAAAUGAACAGUGUCUUCUACAUGAUUAAGGAGUAAAACAGAGUUAAGGUCUUCGGAGGUAGCAAGUCACAGUGCAAGUAGAGUUCACUUGUCUUUGUCUUGAAAGCAAAGAUUUCUUUUCUCUUGCAAAAUUCCCGGGACAUAUCCUGAUAAAGCUUUACAUCUCAGCAGCAUCACUCUGAUUGCUCUUUUUUCAGUUGGUGUCAUUGGAAGCCCCUAAACCCUAUUUAACUUCAGUGCCAUUGACUGGCACUUCCUGCCACUUACAUCUUUGCCAUUUGGCAGUGCCUGGGUUGGACAGAUCUGCCACCUGGUUCUGGUUCUGCAUUAUUGUCAUUCCUUGUGCCAGUCAUAAGGAUUCACUGGCACCCCUCUGAGAUUAGGAGUUCUCCAGGUCUGGAGAUAUUAAAAAAGAGAGAGAUGGUCAGCGAUGCUAUAGAAGGGAUUUUAGUAGUCUCUGGUAUGCUGGAGCACAUAACCUUUGAGUAUGGAUUUCCAUAUUCAUUUAUUCAAGAAAUGUUUAGUGAGUGUUUACUUUGUGCAAAGCACCUUGCUCGUUAAGCUUCUAUGGCUCUAGAAUUUGUCUUUGAAAAUGCGUCUCUAACUUUACAGAAAUGAAAAUUGAGACAUGAUGGGAAAACUUAUUUUAAGCAAACAAUAAGGCAGGCAGGCAGGCUGUGGUUUGCAGACCGACCACUUCUAGCCUUAUUGCCAAGAGCACUACGAGAGUCACAGGAACAUUUUGGAGAUAAUGUUACAUUCACAGACUUGUACAUGUCUUACAGUGAAAGACACCCCAGAGGUUAUCCAAUUCAAAUACUUCAUUUUACAGACGAGGAAACAAAAGCCUGGGGAGGUAUGUGGCUAACUGAUUGCAGAAUCUAUUCUCAGAUAUGGUAUUUCCUUCCCAACCUUGAAAGUUGUGUUCCUGAAAACCUCCAUGGAAGGAGAAAUUACACUUGAGGAACUUACGACCUUAGGAAGAAAAUAGAGUUUGGGGAGUAAGAUAGUGAGUGAAUCUGAGAAAGUUAUCAUCAUUGUUUUAUAUCUACUAAUAAAACAAUGUAGGUACCAUUGAUACCCACUUUAUUUUAUGCCGAACGCAUUUGUAAUGGUGAAUCUUGUACAGGUGAUUUUAUUUACUUCUUAGAAUUCCUUAUUAACACUUCUCUAGGCUCUCUAUACACAAUUUUUGUAAAACUUCUUGUGAGUCAUUGCCUUUUUGUGUAAAUACUGGUUACAAUGGAUUGUUUUCUGUUUCAGGUCCUGUUGUCUCUGCCUUUUUGCAUCUUUGACAUUAUCAUUGUAACUUAUAACUUCUAACCUCUACUCUGACUCAACUUGGUUGUUUCCUGAUUCCUCUCUCUCCUUCUUGCUGUUCCUUCUCUCUGCUGUCCUUUAACUGUAGCUGCUCACCAGGACUAUGCUGUAAACUUUCACCUCCUCUCACUGUUUACUCUACCUAUGUAACUAUCAUGUUUGAUAAUGAGGUCCUGCUGAAUAAGCCUGUUUGCUGUCUUUCCAGGCUGUGCUUUCCCACUCCUGCAGCUACUGCCUUAAUUCAGGUUAUCACUGUCUCUCACUAGGACCCCUGCACUAAUCUCCUUGAUUGGUCAAAGGUUUCAUUAUUUGCAUUGUGCUCUGAGUGAAAUUUUCUUAUGACGGCUUACAGUUCCCAGUGGCUGCAUGUGCCUAUAGAACACUAACUUCCUAAGCAUUUCAUCCAAGGCCCUCCACCUUAGCUCUUGUACCCUUUACUCCAGCCAUAUUUAUUGACCCUACUUGAUGGCCUAAUGUACCAGACUAUUUGGCAUCUUCAUGCCUUUGUGAACUGACUUUUCUUCAUCAGGAAUGCCCUUCACUCUGCCCCUCUCACGCUACCCAUUUCCCCUCCCACGUGCAAUCACCUGCCUGGUGAACAUCUACUCUUCCUCGAAAACUUUGCUCAUACCAUCACCUCUCCCUUGGAGGUACCACUUCCUACUCCUACUUUCUGCUCAUCUCGUACCUCAUUAAAGAGAAUAGGAGGUUCCCACCACAAAAUCUGAAAGCCUCCUGCCACAAAACCUGUCUUCUUCCCUCUGUGCAACUGAAUGUGACUCCUUGUAAUCAAAUGCUCAUCCCUCAAUUCAUGUUGGGAAUCCCAUCUCUCUCACUUUCUCAAGAAGUUCAAUGCUUCUGUCAGACUGUCUCCAGUCAAUUAUUCCCAUCAGCAUAUAAACAUAAUCCAGUAUUACUGUCCUAACCAAUACUCCAUAUUGAUCCACAUCCCUUUCCAGCUACCAUUCUUUUCUGUCUUUCACAAUAAAAUUCCAUAAAAUAGUUGUGUACACACAGCACUUUUAUGUUUUCACUUCACAGUCACUUUGGAAUUCACUUCAAAUUGGCAUUCACCCACAUGACCCAGUUGGUCACUAAUGACCUUUAUAGUGCUAUGUCCACAUUUUCAUCUCACUAGAACUUUCAGCAACAUCCAACAAUUGACCAUUCUCUUCUCAAAAUUGGCCAUUCUCUUCUUGAAAUUGUUCUUGGCUUACAUGAUUCCAUAUUUCCCUGGUCUUUUAUCUGCUUCUCUACCUGCUCCUCCUAAGCCUCUGUUGUGUCUUUUCUUCCACUUUCUAUAAUACCUCUAAGUAUUGAAUUUCCUCAGUAUUCUGCUCUGAACCCCAUGCCUUAUGUUUCCAUAAAUAAUCUCAUUCAUCCUCAUGGCUUAAAAUACCAAUUCCAAGCCAAUGACUCCUAUGUCUGUAUCUCUAGUCCUAACCUCUCCUCUGACCUCCUGACUUAUACUCUUGUCUUUAUAACACCCACUUAUGAAUGCUUCAUGGACAUCUCACAUAAAUAUAUCCAAGACUGCAUUUUUAUUUCCCUCUGAAAACCUAGUCCUCCUUCCAUCCUCCCCACCUCCCUUUUUUGGCAACAUUAUCCACGCUGUUGAUCAGGUCUGGAUCCUGGGAGUCACUAAUUAUUUCUCCCUGUAUUUCUUCCUCUAGUCCAAUUCGUCACUAAGUCUGAUCAUCUGUCUCCUAAAUGCAGCAUAAGGAGAUCCACUUUUCUUUAUCGUUACUGCCACAUUGUAGUUUGAUCUACUAUUAUUUUAAACUUAACAACCACAAUACCUUCAAACUGAUCUCCAUGCACACAGAACACAGUGACUCUCAUCCUUAAUUGAAUCUCUACACAGCCACAGAAACAGUCUUUCUUGAAACAUAAAUCCCAGCAUGACACUGCCUGACAUGCAAUCUCUCUUUGCACUUUGUCUUAGUCCAGGUACAUCAGUGUUGCUAUAAGUCCUGUUGGUCAGCCUCCUGCCCCGUACCCUAAGCUCAUCUUACAUCAGCGAGUCCUCACUCUCCACUCUCUAGACUGACUCCUGAUGUUUUCUCAAGCAAGUUGAUUUCUUUCUCAUCUUAAUCCUUCACAGGUGGUACAUAGUGCUUCCCGAGUUUAGAUCUCCACUCUCCCUUAUGUUCUCAUAAAGGAUUCAUAUGUCCUUUAGGUCUUGGCUUAAAUGCCAUCUAUUCAGAGAAGCCUUCCCUGGCGACCUUAUCUGAGUCAAUCUUCCAUUGUUAUAUUGUUAUAUUGAUUUGCUUUGUUUCUUGCUACUUCUUCUACUUGACUCGGUAGAAGGCUCUGCAUAAUUGACCAAAAUAUAUACAGUGUUUUUCAGAGUGCUAGUCACCUAUUAGUACUGAAGAAUUAUUUGUUGAAUAACUUAAUGAUUUUUUUGCAGUUACACGAGUGUUGUUUUGAUUGACUGAAAAUAGAUUGCCUAAGAUGACAUGAAAGAUCAAAGGUGAAGAGUGGAAGAUAGCACCACUUUGGGUUAAAAGUUUACUUAAGUCAGCAACUCCUCAAGAAACAGCUACCAGCAUUCCUGGGACUAUUAUGCCCUGGUCUACUUGUAGCCUGUUUGUAUUCCAGCCUACUUUGGCACCUUGCCGUCUCUGCUUACCGACUUUCUGCAUAAGAGUGAAAUAGAAAGUGACUUGGAACCAUGUAUACCUAAAGUGUGACAUUUAAAAAAACGUCCUCAGAAAAACUAAUAUCCUGGUUAUUUUUGAAUGUGCUAAGAGACUCUUUUUUUUAAUCUUGUUUUUUUAUUUUGAAUAUAGAGCACAUUGAGGUUUAAAAUGGAAAAUUCUAUUAAAAAUAAAAGGCAUACGUUUACAUAUCUUACAAUUACCUCUGCUUCUGUCCCUCCCAUUCCUUAUGAG
This 10421-nucleotide long non-coding RNA is filed under the name Homo sapiens (human). Its description in RNAcentral is "HSALNT0011172". Lineage: Eukaryota; Metazoa; Chordata; Mammalia; Primates; Hominidae. The record is from RNAcentral.